GGUGAAACCCCACGGCUCAACCGUGGACUUGCCGUGGAUACGGGCGGGCUUGAGUUCGGUAGAGGCGGGCGGAACUGGCGGUGUAGCGGUGAAAUGCUUAGAUACCGCCAAGAACCCCGAUUGCGUAGGCAGCUCGCUGGGCCGAAACUGACGCUGAGGCACGAAAGCGUGGGGAGCGAACA
RNAcentral lists this ribosomal RNA (182 nucleotides) under uncultured bacterium. RNAcentral's name for it is "partial 16S ribosomal RNA". It matches the Rfam family "Bacterial small subunit ribosomal RNA", at positions 593 to 774 of the family's 1533-position model. The record is from RNAcentral.